AGAAGAAGCUUGCUUUCUUUGCCGGCGAGUGGCGAACGGGUGAGUAAUGUAUCGGAACGUGCCCAGUAGCGGGGGAUAACUGGCCGAAAGGUCAGCUAAUACCGCAUACGCCCUACGGGGGAAAGGGGGGGACUCUUCGGAGCCUCUCACUAUUGGAGCGGCCGAUAUCGGAUUAGCUAGUUGGUGGGGUAAUGGCUCACCAAGGCAACGAUCCGUAGCUGGUUUGAGAGGACGACCAGCCACACUGGGACUGAGACACGGCCCAGACUCCUACGGGAGGCAGCAGUGGGGAAUUUUGGACAAUGGGGGGAACCCUGAUCCAGCCAUCCCGCGUGUGCGAUGAAGGCCUUCGGGUUGUAAAGCACUUUUGGCAGGAAAGAAAAUGUUCUGGCUAAUAUCCGGAACUGAUGACGGUACCUGAAGAAUAAGCACCGGCUAACUACGUGCCAGCAGCCGCGGUAAUACGUAGGGUGCAAGCGUUAAUCGGAAUUACUGGGCGUAAAGCGUGCGCAGGCGGUUCGGAAAGAAAGAUGUGAAAUCCCAGGGGCUCACCCUGGAACUGCAUUCUUUAACUACCGGAACUA
RNAcentral lists this ribosomal RNA (584 nucleotides) under uncultured bacterium. RNAcentral describes it as "bacterial SSU rRNA". It matches the Rfam family "Bacterial small subunit ribosomal RNA", at positions 71 to 643 of the family's 1533-position model. The record is from RNAcentral.